Gallus gallus (chicken) is the source of this 4582-nucleotide long non-coding RNA. RefSeq lists it as uncharacterized. NCBI's taxonomy places the organism in Eukaryota, Metazoa, Chordata, Aves, Galliformes, Phasianidae. The transcript is spliced from 3 exons. The record is from RefSeq and is a predicted model, not a curated record.
CUCUCGCUCACUGCCAAGGAGAGGGGUGGGUGUGCUUCCAAGCCAUGCACCUUCAUCAGCUGCGGGCAGCUCUCUUGCCACAAUUGGCACCCGAAGAGGGACACGAAAGGCAUACCAGUCUGGAGUGGGCUGAGAGAAGCACCGGGCUGGAGAGAAGCACCGGGCAGAGAGGCCCUAGCGAAAGAGAGAGUUGAAAGAAGCUUUUAUCGAAAAAGGGCUGAAAGAAUUCCUAUAGAGAGAGAGCUGGAAGAGACCCUAUCCUGCUGAAAGAAGUGCAAGGCUGAGAGAAGUCUUACAGUCCCCAGCUGCUCCGAUUGCCUUUUGCUGGACGAAGGAAAAUGAGAGCCUGCUUUUGCCUCGGUAUGACAAGGUGUCUCUGAAUCAUUCGCGCAUUUCGUUGAUCGCAUGUGGGUCACCCUGCGUGAUAGUGACUUGCCUGAAGAGGCGAAGCACCAGCUGUUCCGAGUUAUGGUACACGACAAUGCUAAUCUGAGCACCAGAGCCAUUCUCGCUACGUUACCACAGGGUGCCACUGUCGAGGCUAUGCUGUAGCGGUCUGAGGGCUGAGCAGGGUCGCCAGGCUACCCAGAUAGCAGCCGCAGUACAGCAAGUGUUAGGUCACCGGGAUGCCAGAAAAGGAAAAGGUGCUGGCGUAGGUGACCAAAAAUGCUAUAAUUGUGGAAUGAUUGAGUAUCUGCAUCGGCAGUGCCAGGAAAAGGUAUGGUGUGACACUUGCCAGCAGGAUUCACAUGCCACAACAACUUGUAGAAGAGGGGGUUCGGGAAACGGCUGGCGCAGCACGGAGCACCGGCGUGUGACAAAACAAGUACCGGACCACAACCCAGCGGCACUGGCUACCUCAACCGGCAGCAGCCAGCCACUCGAGGGAGUCUCGGAGUGGAUGUGGCAACAGCAGUAGACAUUCAUCUGCAAGACACAACGGUCCAAAAAAUCCGUUUGGUGGCAGAGGGACCAUUGUCUUUGAAGAAACCCGUUCAUGCUAUCUUAAUGGGGCGAUCCUCCUUGGGCCAAUCGGGAGUGUUCUUAGUUUCCAGGGUAAUAGACUGAUUGUUGGGGACCGAUUUAUGCACUACUGUAUACCUUAACUCCACCUGUGUUUAUUUCAGCAGGUACAUGUAUAGCUCAAUUUAUUCCCAUACCAGCUGGGAGUCUGAAUAGCUCAGGGGCGGAUCAGAAAGGGGGAUUUGGCUCCACAGGACCCAUAGCCUGCUUGACUAUUCAACUCGGAGAUCGACCAAUGAUGCGGGUAAAGUUGCAAUGUAAUCAGAUUAGCAUCACUGUGACAGCUUUGCUAGACUCUGGGGCAGAUGUCUCCCUGGUCUCUUCUGACAUCUGACCGCACCAGUGGUCUACUACUACUGUUAAUAAUAUCAGUGGGGUGGGUGGGUCUUCAUCCACUCAUAAGUCAACAACGCCCAUUUGUAGUAUUGGUGGGCUCUGAGAAUGCUGUCACCGUAAUGUUACAUGUAGCCAGACUGCCUGGGGGCCUGCAGAUGUUGCUUGGCCGGGAUGUGCUAAGCCAGCAUGGGGUGCGCCUAACUAAUCAACCUUUUCUCUAGUGGCCACUGUGGCACCUCCACCCAUUGCUCUGAAAUGGAAAUCUGAUGACCCCAUUUGAAUGGAACAGUGGCCACCGAAAAAGGAGCGCCUAGAAAUCACCAAAACAUUAGUACAAGAGCAAUUGACUGCGAGUCAUAUUAGACCCUCCACUAGUCCUUGGAAUACACCCAUAUUUGUUAUCCCAAAAAAGUCCGGUAAAUGGUGACUGCUGCAUGACCUACGGAAAAUUAAUGAGCAAAUGGAGGCAAUGGGGGCACUCCAGCCUGGCCUGCCCUCGCCAGUUAUGUUACCUGCAGAUUGGGCAGUUAUCGUUAUUGACCUAAAAGAUUGCUUUUUUACUAUCCCUAUUGCUGAUCAAGAUUGUAAACGCUUCGCCUUCUCAGUGCCAUCUAUUAAUAAGGCGGAACCAGCCGACCGAUAUGAAUGGGUAGUCUUGCCCCAAGGUAUGAAAAAUUGCACUACCCUUUGCCAGCUGUUUGUGGCGGCGGCGCUAAGGCCCCUCCGAAAAAGGCACCCAAAAUGAUUAUCUAUAAUUAUAUAGAUGGCAUUCUCUUUUGUCAGGAAUCCUCAUUCCUGGAAGAUUGGCUGACCGAGGUAACUACCCACCUCAGUCGGUUUGGUGUAAAGGUGGCUCCUGAGAAGGUGCAGCGUACUACCCUGAUUUUAUACCUAGGCUGGAAGUUGUCAGACUCUGUAGUGUCUCCUCAGUGGUUAGAGUUCAGGGUGGAUGUCAAGAAUUUACAUGACUUGCAAACCCUUUUGGGGAAUAUUCAGUGGAUACGUCCACAAGUGGGCAUUCCCAACAGCCUACUAGCCCCAUUGACAUCUCUUCUCCGGGGUCGACAGCCCAAAGAGGAGAUUCAGCUGACAGCCGAAGCCCAACGGGCUCUGGGAGAAAUCACAGAAAGAAUUUGACAAGCUGUUAGUGCUUGCAUGCUUGCAAAUGUACCAAUCUCAUUACUAAUCUUUGCCCAAGAACAAUAUGCCUUUGCUGUGCUCUGUCAAUGGCAAAAGAAAUUUGGGGAGGAUGGGGGGGGGCGGACAGCCAGUGUACAUGACUGUACCAAUGCCACUGACAGUGACAGACAGGAAUGCACAGUGUUAUCCUCCUGCUUUCUCCUUCCCGUGCUCCUGCUCUCCCACAGCUUCUUUCUUUUUGCUUGAAUGGCUCUUUCCCUCGAUUCAGCUGCACACGUAGUUAUGCACAAGAACUGAGAUGAUAGCUCAGCUUAUCGUUACAGGACGAGACUGUUGUAUUUCUAUUACGGGCUCAGAUCCAGCUGACAUUAGUGUUCCUUUUAUGGUAGCUGGGUUGGAGUGGGCGCUACGCCACUCAGAUCCUCUGAUCGUGGCCCUGGAAGGGUAUGCGGGGGUGCUUCAUAGUGUACGACCAGAGGGGCGGGUAUCGCAGUGGUUAGCAAAAACUGAAUGGGUGCCUAGGCCUUACGUUAGCCUACAGCCUGUCGAGGGAUGAACUGUGUAUACCGAUGCUGGGAAGCGGAGUCAGACAGCAGUUUGUGUGUGGUGGGAGAAUGAUCAGUGGCAGCAGCAUAAGAUAAUGGGAUGUCUCGCUCCAAUUUAUAGGAGAGAGAGGAGGUUCUUUGAUAUAUGUAUACCUGGUGUGAGAUUAAGAAACAACGGUUCAAAUGUUGGUCCGACCAGUUUAUUACAAAUCCUAGUUAUUCAGGGAGAUGGGGAAGGGGAGAAGGGCGAUAGAAAAGAUAGGAAAUAGAAGCAAGGAGUCCUUAUAGGAAGGAAGAGGGAGAUAGUCACCACCAUGGUCCAAGGUGGUUCGUAGUUCAGUCAUUGAUCUUCAGUAGUGGUGGGUCGUCAGGUGUUGUUCCAUUGAUGACAUGGUGACAACGACGAUUACGAUGGCAGUACAAACUUAUAAAUAAGUCCAAAGUGGUCGAGUCAGCUCUCUUUGGAGUGACAGCUCGAAUCCGAAGUGGUUGAGUCAGCUCUCCUUGGAGUGGCAGCUACUGGCUCUGGGAUCUCAGCAGAAAUUCCUUUGUUAUCAUCUUCCAGGCCUUGCCAGCAGAUAAGAGGAAGCAGGGAUGCCCAUCUGCAUCCUGUUUUUCACAGGGCAUGAUGGUAUCGUUCCCCAAUUUUUUCCCACACCAAGCUGGGGCUAUUAGGCCAGAUCUUCCGCCAGUAACCACUCCUGAGCACUGUCUUCUGGAGGCAAGUAGCUCUGGAGGAAGGUGCUUUCAAAUGUCAAAGUGAUGUUGAUUGUCACACGGUAGCACCCAUCAUUUGCCACCUCCAUAAAUCAGUUAGAGUCUUAUCACAAGAAAUACCUCAGGAAGCAAGCUUUGAGACAGAAGACAAAGAAGGGUUCUCACACCACCCUGUGGCUCAAAGGUUGCUUGAAACUGAAGCAUAGUUGACCUUUCACGAUGGUGAGGAGAAGAAAAGUAGUAAGAAAGAGGAAAAAAAAGGAAAGGGAAAAACAAACAAACAAACAUGAGGGAAAGAGGCGGGGGGGGGAAGGCAAAGUUAAUUAUUAUACCAUUACUACAUAAGAUUUCUUGGGCUUGGUUACAACUGUUGCCCUGAUCUGUUGGAUUUGUCCAUCAGUAGAAGUGGUUACAAAGUACAUGGAGGAUACAACACGUUGUAUAAGUUGAAUAAAACAUGGAAUGGUACAAGGUACAAACAUAAGAGUUGCAACAGCACACAAUAGAUAAAAUAGGAUACGUUUGACCCAUGGGGCACCUGGGAGCCAGGAAAAGAAGUCGAAGUCUAGGCCUUUCCAGGUUUGGACAGGAACAUGGGCUAUUUUCCGUAUCCCGUGGGCAAUUUGUUUAACAACUUUACCAUUAUCAUUGAAUUUUUAGACAAAAAUUAGAGUCAUUCAAUUUGCCAAAGACACUAUCCGGUGACUCUUCAGGAGUGGUGACACAAAUGUUACAUAGCAAAUAAAAGGUAGAAAGUGAAAAGAGACAACCAUACAUUUGACAAUAACCAUACAUUUAAAUAAAUAAACAAGUAAAACAAA